Molecule: long non-coding RNA, 382 nt
Organism: Eleginops maclovinus (Patagonian blennie)
Lineage: Eukaryota; Metazoa; Chordata; Actinopteri; Perciformes; Eleginopidae
Exons: 3
Source: RefSeq, a predicted model, not a curated record
ACAAAGAAGCUGGCUGGCCCCAGCUACUCUUGAGACAGAACUGUUGUCUCGAGUAAAUAACCAAUAAACCGACCAACAAUAUAAGAACCAACAAACUACAAAUCAAAGACUAUUAUCUGGAAGUCCUGCCUCCAUGUGCUCCUGAGAUCCACUGCGUUGACUUUAUAAUACUGGAAUCAACCACCCUCAAUAAUUUCACCCUCUGUACCCUUUACAGAGUUACAGUCAGGAAGAGAAGCUGUGUGGAAACCAAGGAGUUCAGAGACCUCUCUCGUGUGUGUGCUGGGGGGGGGGGGCUGCUCGCUCACGGACACGCUGCAAAACGUACACUCUACAAGGCUCGAUGUGGACAACGCUCGUAUGACAGAAGUAUUUUUGCGUA